RNAcentral lists this transfer RNA (66 nucleotides) under Diphyllobothrium cordatum. Its description in RNAcentral is "tRNA-Met". The record is from RNAcentral. Lineage: Eukaryota; Metazoa; Platyhelminthes; Cestoda; Diphyllobothriidea; Diphyllobothriidae.
AGGCUGAUAAGUUAAAUUUAAACUGUGGGGUUCAUGUCCCCUUAAUAUGCAUUUGCAUUUGGCUGA